CAGCCGCCACGGUAAUACGGAGGGAGCUAGCGUUGUUCGGAAUUACUGGGCGUAAAGCGCACGUAGGCGGCUUUGUAAGUCAGAGGUGAAAGCCUGGAGCUCAACUCCAGAACUGCCUUUGAGACUGCAUCGCUCGAAUCCGGGAGAGGUGAGUGGAAUUCCGAGUGUAGAGGUGAAAUUCGUAGAUAUUCGGAAGAACACCAGUGGCGAAGGCGGCUCACUGGACCGGUAUUGACGCUGAGGUGCGAAAGCGUGGGGAGCAAACAGGAUUAGAUACCCCUGUAGUCCCUGUCUCUUAUAC
This 301-nucleotide ribosomal RNA is filed under the name uncultured bacterium. RNAcentral describes it as "partial 16S ribosomal RNA". It matches the Rfam family "Bacterial small subunit ribosomal RNA", at positions 509 to 807 of the family's 1533-position model. The record is from RNAcentral.